This 500-nucleotide ribosomal RNA is filed under the name Clostridioides difficile. RNAcentral describes it as "bacterial LSU rRNA". It matches the Rfam family "Bacterial large subunit ribosomal RNA", at positions 1 to 503 of the family's 2925-position model. Lineage: Bacteria; Bacillati; Bacillota; Clostridia; Peptostreptococcales; Peptostreptococcaceae. The record is from RNAcentral.
UGGUCAAGUUAUUAAGGGUGCAGGGCGGAUGCCUUGGCACUAGGAGCCGAUGAAGGACGUGAUAAGCUGCGAUAAGCUUCGGGGAGUUGCACGUAAACUUUGAUCCGAAGAUUUCCGAAUGAGGAAACUCACUUAGAGUAAUGUCUAAGUAUCAUUAAGUGAAUACAUAGCUUAAUGAGGGGAACUCAGGGAACUGAAACAUCUAAGUACCUGAAGGAAGAGAAAGAAAUUCGAUUCCGUAAGUAGCGGCGAGCGAACGCGGAUUAGCCCAAACCAAUAAAGUUUUCUUUAUUGGGGUUGCGGACAUAUCAUAACGGAGAGGUAUCGUAAUUGAAGAGGUUUGGAAAGACCCACCACAGAAGGUAAUAGUCCUGUAUGUUAAACGAGAAGACUUUAGAUAUGAUCCAGAGUACCACGGGACACGUGAAACCCUGUGGGAAGCAGGAGGGACCACCCUCCAAGGCUAAAUACUACCUAGUGACCGAUAGCGUAUAGUACCG